GACGAACGCUGGCGGCGUGCUUAACACAUGCAAGUCGAACGGUAAGGCCCUUCGGGGUACACGAGUGGCGAACGGGUGAGUAACACGUGGGUGAUCUGCCCUGCACUUCGGGAUAAGCCUGGGAAACUGGGUCUAAUACCGGAUAGGACCACUGCCUGCAUGGGUGGUGGUGGAAAGCUGUUGCGGUGUGGGAUGGGCCCGCGGCCUAUCAGCUUGUGGGUGGGGUGAUGGCCUACCAAGGCGACGACGGGUAGCCGGCCUGAGAGGGUGACCGGCCACACUGGGACUGAGAUACGGCCCAGACUCCUACGGGAGGCAGCAGUGGGGAAUAUUGCACAAUGGGCGCAAGCCUGAUGCAGCGACGCCGCGUGAGGGAUGACGGCCUUCGGGUUGUAAACCUCUUUCAGCACCGACGAAGCGCAAGUGACGGUAGGUGCAGAAGAAGGACCGGCCAACUACGUGCCAGCCGCCGCGGUAA
This 478-nucleotide ribosomal RNA is filed under the name uncultured bacterium. RNAcentral's name for it is "partial 16S ribosomal RNA". It matches the Rfam family "Bacterial small subunit ribosomal RNA", at positions 28 to 523 of the family's 1533-position model. The record is from RNAcentral.